Molecule: ribosomal RNA, 253 nt
Filed under: uncultured bacterium
Lineage: Bacteria
Description: partial 16S ribosomal RNA
Rfam family: Bacterial small subunit ribosomal RNA
Source: RNAcentral
UACGAAGGGUGCAAACGUUGCUCGGAAUUAUUGGGCGUAAAGCGCACGUAGGCGGCUAUCUAAGUCGGAUGUGAAAUCCCUCGGCUUAACCAAGGAAGUGCACCCGAAACUGGAUAGCUUGAGUACAGAAGAGGAUCGCGGAAUUCCCGGUGUAGAGGUGAAAUUCGUAGAUAUCGGGAGGAACACCAGUGGCGAAGGCGGCGAUCUGGGCUGAUACUGACGCUGAGGUGCGAAAGCGUGGGGAGCGAACAGG